CGGGUUCCCUGAAAAUUGUGCCCUGGGAACGGGCCGUCAGAGAUGGGUGAGAAUCCCGUCUUGGGCGGGGUGUCCCCCGCCCGUGGUAAAGCUCCUUCGACGAGUCGAGUUGUUUGGGAAUGCAGCUCUAAAUGGGUGGUAAAUUUCAUCUAAGCUAAAUACUGGCCGGAGACCGAUGCGCACAAGUAGAGUGAUCGAAAGAUGAAAAGCACUUUGAAAAGAGAGUUAAACAGCACGUGAAAUUGUUGAAAGGGAAGCGCUUGCGACCAGACUCGCCCGCGGGGUUCAGCCGGCAUUCGUGCCGGUGUACUUCCCCGUGGGCGGGCCAGCGUCGGUUUGGGCGGCCGGUCAAAGGCCCCUGGAAUGUAGUGCCCUCCGGGGCACCUUAUAGCCUGGGGUGCAAUGCGGCCAGCCUGGACCGAGGAACGCGCUUCGGCACGGACGCUGGCAUAAUGGUCGUAAACGACCCGUCUUGAAACACGGACCCGGGCCC
Molecule: ribosomal RNA, 493 nt
Filed under: Aspergillus niger
Lineage: Eukaryota; Fungi; Ascomycota; Eurotiomycetes; Eurotiales; Aspergillaceae
Description: eukaryotic LSU rRNA
Rfam family: Eukaryotic large subunit ribosomal RNA
Source: RNAcentral